GAUGAACGCUGGCGGCGUGCCUAAUACAUGCAAGUCGAGCGAACAGACGAGGAGCUUGCUCCUCUGACGUUAGCGGCGGACGGGUGAGUAACACGUGGAUAACCUACCUAUAAGACUGGGAUAACUUCGGGAAACCGGAGCUAAUACCGGAUAAUAUAUUGAACCGCAUGGUUCAAUAGUGAAAUACGGUUUUGCUGUCACUUAUAGAUGGAUCCGCGCCGCAUUAGCUAGUUGGUGAGGUAACGGCUUACCAAGGCAACGAUGCGUAGCCGACCUGAGAGGGUGGUAGGCCACACUGGAGCUGGGACACGGUCAAGACUCCUACGGGAGGCAGCAGUAGGGAAUCUUCCGCAAUGGGCGAAAGCCUGACGGAGCAACGCGGCGUGAGUGAUGAAGGUCUUCGGAUCGUAAAACUCUGUUAUUAGGGAAGAACAAAUGUGUAAGUAACUAUGCACGUAGUGACGGUACCUAAUCAGAAAGCCACGGCUAACUACGUG
This 497-nucleotide ribosomal RNA is filed under the name uncultured bacterium. RNAcentral describes it as "partial 16S ribosomal RNA". It matches the Rfam family "Bacterial small subunit ribosomal RNA", at positions 28 to 507 of the family's 1533-position model. The record is from RNAcentral.